Molecule: non-coding RNA, 1393 nt
Organism: Taeniopygia guttata (zebra finch)
Lineage: Eukaryota; Metazoa; Chordata; Aves; Passeriformes; Estrildidae
Source: RefSeq, a predicted model, not a curated record
CGGGCGGGGACGGGGCGGGGCGCGGCGACACCGCGGCGGGGAGGGACGGCCGGAGUGGUCCGGGCACCGCUGGCGGGAGGGGAUGCCCGGAGUGAUCCCGGCAUUCAUUCCCUCUCUGCUGUGAUGGGAUGGCCUCAGCGGCACGGGCCGGACCUCGCCCCUGUGAUGCCCAGGCAGCUCCGGGCAUCACGGCAGGGAAGGGAUGGACAGCUCCGGGCAGGGAAGGGAUGGAUGCCUGGACAGCUCCGGGCAUCGCGGCAGGGAAGGGAUGGAUGCCUGGACAGCUCCGGGCAUCACGGCAGGGAAUGGAUGCCUGGGCAGUCCGGGAAUCACGGCAGGGAAGGGAUGGACAGCUCCGGGCAUCACGGCAGGGAAGGGAUGGAUGCCUGGGCAGCUCUGGCCAUCACGGCAGGGAAGGGAUGGAUGCCUGAGCAGCUCCGGGAAUCACGGCAGGGAAGGAGGGAUGGACAGCUCCGGGCAUCAGGCAGGGAAGGGAUGGAUGCCUGGGCAGCUCCGGGAAUCACGGCAGGGAAGGGAUGGACAGCUCCGGGCAUCACGGCAGGGAAGGGAUGGAUGCCCGGGCAGCUCCAGGCAUCCCCGCGGGCGUGGGGAGCUGUGACUGGCCUACUCCGGAGCAGCCUGGGCUCGGUCCCACCUCAUCCUCUCAGCCCUGUCUCAGCCCUCCUUGGGCACAGCCUCGGCCCUCCCGGGCAUCUCCCGGCCCCCCUUCGGGGCCACCUCUGGCCCUUGCAGAUCCAGCUCCCCUCAGGUCUAUCUGCACCCCGCAGCCCCCCAAGGCUGUGUUUAACACCCCUGCUCUGCCUCUCCACAGCUGCCCUGGCAGAAGCUUCGGGGAUGUGCUGCAAGCUCCAGCACAUUCAUUGUGCCUGAGGUUGCCUCGGUGAGGCUGAGGGACACCCAACCCUGGCUGCAACUCAGAACCUCCAGAUGUGUAAAUAAUAUAUUUUUUUUUUCCCUUCAGUUUGCAGUUAGCACAAGCAUGAGUGCUCUUUGAGCCCCUGCAUCCUCCCAGGUCCAUUGUUACAAGCGGUCCCUAAUAACCAGCAGAGAUUGGGCUUGAAAGGGGAAGAAAUGAGGAAUAGAGACACUGCAGAGAGGAGGAUUCCCAGCUUGUUGGUCAGGAACUCAGGGAACAGAUAUUUUCUGGAAUACUCAGCUCCUGCAAACUGAAAUACCUUGUUUCAUGCCAAUGGGUUUAUGCUAAUGUGCCCUACAGCAACCUGAGCACAAGAUUUAAUUAUUAAUGCUAUCAUUUCUUCUGCCAUAUAUUAAUAAAGGAAUGUACCUCAGCUUGUAAAAACCACUGUGCUUCAGAUCCCAGCAAAGCAAGCCUUGUAAUUGUGUCAUUGUAGGCUGUUGAUAUUCCUUCUCA